AUAUUGAAUUAAUAUUUCUUUUUUCGUGCAAUUGAAUUAUUAGUUGCAAUUACAAAAUAUCGCAUUGUUUUUCCCCAAAAAAUUAAGAUUGAUAUAACACGUACAGUAAGAUUGUUUAUUAUAUUUUAUUUUUAAUUCUUUCGUUUAAAUUUCAUAGCUUGUGAAGAUAAUUUUGGUGUUUAUGUUAAAUAUUACUAAAAAUGCUAUAGUAAAUAUUACUUCAAAAAUUUUAUUAAACGCAUGGAAUAUUAAGUUUACAAUAAAUGUUAAUGUAAAAAAAAUAUUGAAAUAAUUAAAAUAUCAAAAAUUAUUUAACACGUUAUGCGCCGAACUUAUUUUUGUUUACCUUUCCGUUCGCGCCGCGAUAGCUGUCAGAGAUACGCAAGAUUGCGAAGAAUUUCUUUUCUAUCCAUAAUAAUGACAAUGCCGGCACAGGACGGAUGUGAAAAUAUCAUAGAAUUAUGUUAUUUUUUCAUCAGAGGACGAUGAUUUUGAAGAAUGACAUAAUUCGAAAAGGAAUCAAUCAAAAAUUAUGCUUUCAUUAGUUUAUCUGGCUUCAGGAUUAAAAUAUGAAUAUGCAGACACAUGCAACAGUUGAGAAGUGUUAUAAACUAUUUGUGGUAGAUGAGUGAGGAAAUCGUUAAACAAACGAACUUAUAUGCAUCACAAAAAUUGGUGGAAGAAAACUCGCAAUGUUUGUGCAAAUAGACUAUAACAAACAAAAAUGAGAUGACAUUUUUUU
Molecule: long non-coding RNA, 742 nt
Organism: Frieseomelitta varia
Lineage: Eukaryota; Metazoa; Arthropoda; Insecta; Hymenoptera; Apidae
Exons: 2
Source: RefSeq, a predicted model, not a curated record